UAAGUUUUAAGUUUUAAGUUUUUAGUUUUAGUUUUCAAUUCCCCGAUAGUCUGUCUUCCAAAAUCCCUAACCCUAUCGUGCUUUCCUCUCUUUUUUUCCCAAUUCCAAAAUCAAGUUGUCUGCCUGUCUACACCAAAUCACCGAUCCACCUCCACCGUCAAGACCUCCACCGAUCCACCUCCGUCCUCCACCCAAUUCCAGAAUCAAGCAUUUAAGGGUUUGUUUAUUCCCGAAUCGCCAACAAAAUCGUAUUUAAGGUAAACCGUUUGUUUAUUCUUUAAUGUUCAAUUGUUCAUAACUUCAUAUGAAUUUUUAUGUUAAUUAUUUUGAUUUUUGGGUAAUAAUGUUGCUAAUUUUAUUCGUUAAUGUCUGUGGAAAGAAAUCUCUCUAGAUAUUAUAUAUGUUAAAAGUUGCGUGAUCCUCAUAAGCGUUUUCAACAAACAUAAUAGCCCCUAUAAGUAAAUACAAAUGCUAAAUGAUACCUGAAUGAAAGAAGUGUAGGAUCUUAUGAGAAUAUCAGAGAACUGAUCGGGUGUAUAGAUUCUGUUAACUAGAGGAUUGAUGUAGUAGUUCUAAAUAUAAUCACUGCUUCCUGCACUCAUAAGAUGUAUGGCACCAGAGAUUAUGCUGUUGGCUCCAUUAGUAGAGAUAUUUGAACCUUGUCUGUUUCAACUGGAUUCUUCUCAUUUUCUUCAAUGGAAUCCAAACCCAAAUCUUCAUUUCUAUUUGAAUAUGUUUUUGCAGUCCUUUUAUGAACUUGAGAUCUUUGCUUCCUCAUAAGAAUUGGUUUUUCUCAUUUCCAUCAGAUCUUCCUUUCUUAACGGAACCGGACUCUUCUUCUUAAUCCCAUUAUCAACAACAGCCAAGCUCAAAUCUUUACAAUGUUCCAUGGAUCUUCCUUUAGCUACUACCUUAUUUGGGUUCUUCUUGAAGCCAUCAAAGCUUUCAUUUUUCCAAGUCUUUCUCUUGCUACCACCGACACUUUGUCAUUUCUACAAUCUUUUAUCACCAUCACUAUUGAUGUUUUCUUGUUCUUCAUCUUCAUCUUCUCCAUUGAAAACCUUGAUUCCACCUCUAAAUUCAUCGCUCUUCAUUCUAGUUUCCCAUACCGGCCCAGCUGCAACAACAUUGCUUUUAACACCUAGUCUUCUGUAACUCAAAUCCAUCCUUUUUCUUUCCAGUUUAUUACCUUUUCUGCUUAUUUCAUAAUUUAAGCCAUAAUCUUGAUUUGGAAUUUCAGUUGAGUUAGCAUGUGUUGGCAAUACACAUGUUCUAAUUUAUGCAGUUUGAAUUUCAUUCAAGGUAAAGAAGUUUGUCUAUGUGUUCUUAGCAGAUUUUAAUUUACUAUAUUUUCGUUGUAUUUUGCUUAAUUUAUGCGUUUGAAUUUUUUAAGAAAUCAUUAACAAUGGAUCCCUUCAAUUGCUUUUUAAGAUACUUUCUUUCUAAAUGUUUAAAAUUUAAUUUAGCUUACAAUUUAUAUUUUGUUAUAAAAUUAAAUAUGUUGAUGGAUUAAUGUAUGAAUAUUAUGGUUUGUUGUUUAUUGCUAUAAAAUUAAGUAUGUUUAAAUAUUUUGUUAUAAAAUUUAGGUGACAGGAUAGAAUUGGAAGUGAUAAAAUUAGACUUAUAGCAAUGAUGGCUAGGGAGUUGGCAUUAAUGGCCGAGGUUGAGAGUUGAGAAUAAUGAACUACCUAUGGGAGAUUUGAGAGUAUUGUUAGUUUGUUACUGAUAUUACAACGGUUGUAAUCAGGUUGUAAAUUUGGGCGGAAAAGAACUAGUCAAGGCCUAUACUCAUAGCUCUGAGUUUCGGGCAAAGUAGUUAGAUGUGAUAAAUGCAUGCUUCUCUCAAGACUAAUACAUACUUAUACCAAUUUAAUUCAAUUCAUAAUGUUUUGAUUGAUACAAAAUGUUAGAUUUUACUAACAAUUAAUAAUUUGAUAAUUUUACUAACAAUUAAUACAAUUAACAAUUAAUAAUUUUACUAACAAAAUGUCAGAUUUUACAAAAUGUUUUGAUUGGUAGUAACAAUUAAUAAUUUGAUAUAAUUUGAUAAUUUUACUAACAAUUAGUACAAUUAACAAUUAAUAAUUUUACUAACAAAAUGUUAGAUUUUACAAAAUGUUUUGAGUGGUAGUAACAAUUAAUAAUUUGAUAUAAUUUGAUAAUUUUACUAACAAUUAAUACAAUUAACAAGUAAUAAUUUUACUAACAAAAUGUUAGAUUUUACAAAAUGUUUUGACUGGUGUAACAAUUAAUAAUUUGAUAUAAUUUGAUAAUUUUACUAACAAUUAAUACAAUUAACAAUUAAUAAUUUUACUAACAAAAUGUUAGAUUUUACAAAAUAUUUUGACUGGUAGUAACAAUUAAUAAUUUGAUAUAAUUUGAUAAUUUUAUUAACAAUUAAUACAAUUAACAAUUAAUAAUUUUACUAACAAAAUGUUAAAUUUUACAAAAUGUUUUGACUGGUACAAAAAAAUAUAAUUUGAUAUAAUUUUAAUAACAAUUAAUUUUAAUAACAAUUUUUUUUAAUUUUAAUAAAAAUAUAAUUUUAAUUUUAAUCAAAAAACGGGUCGGGCUCGAGUUCCAUAUUUUUUUCCCCGGUCCAGGCCUGGAAAAAAUCUCAGGCCCAUGGACACCUCUAAUUCUCACCCUCCUUACUUUUUAAAUUUACAAAAAAUACUCUAUUUUUUUGCAGUACCACCCUCACUCUCUGGCCUAUUUACACUCGUAACCCUUUUAUUUUUUUAAACAUUCGAUUUAAUCCGAAAUUUAAAAAUUAAAAGAAAAUUAAUUGUUACAUCAGUCCUCUGUCUUCCACAUUUUUUAUCUUUUAGUUCUAAAAUCAAGUUAUGUCAUUUUGCUUCCAUCUUUAAUAAAUAUUUUACACUUAUAUCUUCCAUUUCACUUGCAUUUAUACAUUAUAUAUUUAAUGUUAAUUAUGCACUUUAUUUUAAUGUUUUAUAUUUAUUCACACUUGUAUAAUUUUUAUUUAUUCUUAUUUUAUUUUUAUUUAUUUUCAUGUCUAUUUAUAUUUAUUUAUUUUUACGCAUUCCCCUUACAUAUAUUUUAAUAUUAUUUAUUUAUGUUACUUUGAUUCUUUUAUUGUAUUAUGAAUAAGGUGUAUUAUUGUUAUUAUUAUUAUCAUCAUGUUAAGGUCUUAUUUAUUUCAUUUAUUUAAUUUUUUUAUUAUUAUCAUUUUGAAAGAGUUUUAACUUUUCAUUAACUUUAGCCAAUUUAAUUAAUUUUCCUAUUUUAUUACUAUUCGUUUUAAAAGAGAGAACUUUAGGUCAUUUUUCCAUCCUAUUAUUGUUAACAUGAAGUUAGUUAAGUAGGUGUUAUAUUUUAAUGAAACCAUAAGGUUUUUACAUUUGGAUUUAGGUUAGUCCUUAAGAUCUUACCUACCAUUUUACCUUAGAAAAAUUAUAAAUAAUAUGUAAGAUAUUUUUUUAGGUUUUUAAAUUAGUUUUAAAUAUCGUAUAGGAUUAGAAUCUUAAGUUAAUAUGUAAAUAUUUUUAUGACUUUAUUCAAGAUUAAAACUAAAGAUUUUUGUAGGUGAAUUGUAAAUCAUGAGUAGGUCUUUUUAAAUAUUUUAUUUUAGAAACUUUUUUAAGAAAGCUAAUAAAUGUUAUUUAAGAUUUAUUAUUUUAGGUUUUUGACGAAUUUAAAUCUUAGAUCAAGAACUUUAAAGUAAGAUAAAUCAUAAACCCGACAUAGGAUACUUUCGUAAGAUCUUGAUAGGUUCAGCGUUAUUAAUUAAAUCUUUUAAAAAUAAUAAUAAUAAUAAAAGAUCGAAUAAGUUGUAGAUGUAUUUUAAUAUUUUUCUUAAUUCAUUGGUAAUUUUUAGGUUUUUUUUAGAAUUCUAAAAUAGAAUUAAUUUUAGGAAUUGAAGGCAUUUUACUAGAAUUAUUUAGGUAUCCUUUAGGGCUCCUGUUAAAAGUAAAAAUCACUAAUUUAAGUUUCAAAUUAGAUAAGUCUGGUGAACACAUCUUAAUCGAACUACAAGUAAACCGGAGGCGCUUCCUUUAGAGUUUUUAUUUAAGAUUUCCAUAAGAUUUUAACUUAGAUUAAGAAAUUAAUAUGCUUAAAUAAAAAAUCUAGCUCUUAAGAUCCCGUAGGACUAUCCCAGAUAGGCGUUGCUAUAACCUUCCCCACACGUAACCGUACUCCCAAACCCAGUAUUUGGUAAUGAGAUCGAGUCUAGAUUGUUAGGAUUUUUCCGUAAUAUUAAUUCUAGAUUUUUAGACGAUAGGUGGCUAACCAACCUAGCCCUAAUUGGUUAGUGGCGACUCUACGUAAUUUAGUCCCUUCGUGUCUAGCUUUGCUUACUAGGUCUCCGUACUCUUAUGUAGGCAACGUUAUGACAAUAAAAAUUAAAUUAAAUUUAAUAUUAAAAUAAUCACUUUAUUAUUAAAUUAAUAGAAUACUAUCAAGAUAAGUAUUUAAUUUAAUAUUAAAUUUAUUAAAAUAAUAUUAUUUUUGGAAUAGUUAAUCUGAAAUCAAAUUAUUUGGUAGAGUCCCAGUAGAAGUGUGAUUCCUCCAUUGCUCAAUCACUGAAGAACCACCCGCCAACCAUCAGAAUGUGAUCGUCGUCGUCGUCGACACUGUCGUGUCUGAUGGUGCCAUCGCAGGUGCGACACCCUCACGACACCCCAAGCUGGUUCUGUUCGAGCUAGUGAUGGCCCGGCCGGUUCGAUCUUGCCACCGAUUGGACCGUCAGCUCGAUUUCACAUACUAGGCUUGAUUCGACCAGUUUUUGGGUCUCAGCCUCAAUUUUGGAUUCUCGAGCCCAAUUUUCAAAUUUAGUUACCUAUUUGAUUAGUUUUCUGACUUGAAAAUUAAUUUCCAAAAACAUCGUGUUAAUUUUAAUUUAUUUGAUUAAUUUAAUUUUACUUGAUCAAAAUUAAUUUUCACAAAAAUCACUUAGAUUUUUCAAGAUAAUUCUUUAACUAAAUUCUGUAGUUGAACAAUUCUCACAAUCGCCUCAUUUAAUUUAACAUUGAAUAAAUCGACUCAAUUAAAUUAAUUCCAAAGUCGUAGUGUAACAGCCCAAUUUUCAGUAGUGUCAGAACAGUGAUUUGAGAUCACUAAAUUCGAUGAAAAAGUUAGAAAAUUUUAUUAAUUAAUAAUUAUAAGUUAAGCGUGAUUUUAGAAAUAUUUUUGAAUUACUGAAUUUUGUGAUUUAAAAGAAAUUAUUAGGUAAAUCGGGUCAAAAACGAGGUAUCGAGACCUUGAUAUUAUAAAUUGAGCCGUAAAUAUAUAAAAAUAUUUACGGAGUGCCAUUAAGGUAGUAUUAAAGUUUCGUUGAGAAAUGUUAACGUUUAGGUGGAUAAUUGAUUAAAAAGGAUAAAAUUGAAAAAAAAUUCCCGAGAUCUAUUUCAGUAAAUUGGACUCGUAAAUAUUUAUCAUAAAUAUUACGAAGUUAUUUGUGUAGUUAAUCAAGUUUUAAUUAAGUGAAUUUGUCUAAAUUAAGGUUAAUUAUGAAAAAGGAUUAUAUUGUAAUAGAGAUAAAAGUUUAAUUAAAGAUUAAAGAAAAGUUAAAAGGACCAAAUAGACAAUUAUGCCUUUUUCUAAAGUUGAGACCGCAUAACUAAAGAAAUAUCUGAGAUAUUUUAGUUAAUAUAUAUUAUAUUUAUUUACUUAAUAAAUAAGUAUUAUAUUAAUUAUAUAAUAAUAAUAUUAUUAUUAUUAUUAUUAUUGUUAUUGUUAUUAUUAUUAUUAUAUAUAACAAAUAGAAAAGAAGGAAAGAAACAGAAUUGAAAAACGCAACAGAGAAGGAGAAAGGAAAGAAAGAAAAGGGAAUUUUGGGGUUUUGAAGUUCAAAGCUCAAUUGGUAAGUCAAUUUAAUCUCAUUUCUUGUAAUUUUUGAGUUUUUGGAGUUCUAGAACAAAAUAUGUCAUGAUUUAUGUUGAAAUUUUGAAAGAUAGUUGAUUUUUAGACAUGAGUUAUGUUGAAUUAAUUGAUGAAAUAGGGGUUAAAUUGAUUGAAUUUCAAGUUAGAAGUUAGUAAAAGGUUGAUUUGUAAAAUAAAACAUAAUUUUUGAAUUAAUAGGGACUAAAUUGAGAGAAUUUCAAAAUUAGGGAUUUAUGGUGAAAUUAGAGAUUUAAAUUAGUUUAAAGUGGGAAUGGAAUGAAAAUAUGAAAUUAGUUUUGAGAAUAAAAGUUAGUCUCGGUUUAGGGACUAAAUUGAAAUUUAGGCAAAUAUGAAGUAAAAAUUGAAAUAUUUAAUGUGAGAUUGAAUUGUGUUGUAUUAAUGAUUUUUAAUUGUUUUAAUUUCGUAGCUAACGUUGUACCGGAAUUCUCGACUAAAAAGGGAAAAAAAAUAUAGUCGACGAGGAAUAGCUCGGAAUUCUUGGUUUGUAUUUCUAUUAUCCGAAUCUAAUUAUUAAUUUUUGUAUUUUGAUUAAAUGUUAUAGUAAGUGAUUGAGGUGAGAAUUAUUGUGUUUUACAAUUGAAAUGGAUUGUCUUGAUAUGUGAUGAAAUUAUAUUGGUUGAAUUAAAGUGGAAUAUAUAUUAUGAAUAUAUAUGUGUAAAUGUGAAAUUGUGCAAAUAUGAUAAUUGAAUUAUUUUUUAUAUGUAUAAAAUUCAAUUUUAAUACCCAAAAAGAUGGAAUUUAGAACUACUGAGAUAUUAGUGGCAUGCCAUUAAGGAACUCUAGUGCGCUCUCUGAUAUUUAGCACGUUAGUGCUCUCUGUUUAGCACAUCUGUGCUCUCUACAUAGCACUUCAGUGCUCUCUGUUCAUUAGUGCAUAAUAAUGCACCUCUGUAUAUGUUCCGUAUAUUCGGUGUGUUCUAUAAAAUCUACUUUGGGCUAAGAAUAAGAAUAUGAGAUAGUGAAUUGAAAAUAGAAUGUGAAAAACGAUAGUGAAUUGAAAACAUAAUAUGAAAUAUGUUAUAAAUACAUGGAAUACACGAGUUAUAUACUCAUGAAUUGAAUGUGGAAAGCUAUUAUAUAUAGCAAAGUGAUGAUAAUUGAGUAUCGUAUGGUUUUAAAUGUUCAAUUGUGCUUGACAUUUUAUUAUACAUAUUUUAUUGUUUUAUUUUUAAAUAUUCGAAUUAUAGAAAUACCACUGAGUUUUUACUCAGCGUACGGUUUUGUUUUCCGUGCGCAGAUUAAGUACUUAAGUUUGAUCGCUGAUUCAGCAUCCAACAACGAUCCCGAACUCAAAUAUGGUGAUGUUUAUUUCUUUGUGUCGGCAUGUACCUAGAGUGUCUAAAUAUUAGUUAUUUUAUGGUUUGAUUGUAAAUGAAGUUAUAAGAUCUAUUUUGGAGAGUUUAUAAUUUGGAUUAAAAUGAUGCUUUGAUGACUUGUUUUGAUGAUAUAAAAUGUUUGAGAUUUCUUUCUGUUUGAUCUGUAAUCUCCAGUAAUGCUCCGUAACCUGGUUCCAGCGAGGGAUACGGGUUGGGGGUGUUACACAUAGAAUUUUAUUUUGAUUCAAAUGCAAUUCGAUCGAGCUUUUGUUGAGCUAGUAGAGGGACCAAUUAGACAUAUACAAUUAGAC
This 7495-nucleotide long non-coding RNA is filed under the name Gossypium barbadense (sea-island cotton). Its description in RNAcentral is "long non-coding RNA (GBAR_LNC021548)". The record is from RNAcentral. Lineage: Eukaryota; Viridiplantae; Streptophyta; Magnoliopsida; Malvales; Malvaceae.